This is a small nucleolar RNA of Salvia splendens (bonfire salvia), 82 nucleotides long. RefSeq annotates it as small nucleolar RNA SNORD24. The transcript has a single exon. NCBI's taxonomy places the organism in Eukaryota, Viridiplantae, Streptophyta, Magnoliopsida, Lamiales, Lamiaceae. The record is from RefSeq and is a predicted model, not a curated record.
AGCCGGUGAUGCGAGAUUAUAUUUGCUACUCUUGAUGGGAUUCAUCCUAUCUGAUGAUUCUUUACCACCAAGAUCUGAGGCU